GAUGAACGCUGGCGGCGUGCCUAAUACAUGCAAGUCGAGCGAACAGAUAAGGAGCUUGCUCCUUUGACGUUAGCGGCGGACGGGUGAGUAACACGUGGGUAACCUACCUAUAAGACUGGAAUAACUCCGGGAAACCGGGGCUAAUGCCGGAUAACAUUUAGAACCGCAUGGUUCUAAAGUGAAAGAUGGUUUUGCUAUCACUUAUAGAUGGACCCGCGCCGUAUUAGCUAGUUGGUAAGGUAACGGCCUACCAAGGCAACGAUACGUAGCCGACCUGAGAGGGUGAUCGGCCACACUGGAACUGAGACACGGUCCAGACUCCUACGGGAGGCAGCAGUAGGGAAUCUUCCGCAAUGGGCGAAAGCCUGACGGAGCAACGCCGCGUGAGUGAUGAAGGUCUUCGGAUCGUAAAACUCUGUUAUUAGGGAAGAACAAAUGUGUAAGUAACUGUGCACGUCUUGACGGUACCUAAUCAGAAAGCCACGGCUAACUACGUG
RNAcentral lists this ribosomal RNA (497 nucleotides) under uncultured bacterium. Its description in RNAcentral is "partial 16S ribosomal RNA". It matches the Rfam family "Bacterial small subunit ribosomal RNA", at positions 28 to 507 of the family's 1533-position model. The record is from RNAcentral.